AGACGUCUACAUUAGAUACCCCCGUAGUCCCAGCCGUAAACUAUGCGCGUUAGGUGUAUCGGUGACCACGAGUUACCGAGGUGCCGAAGGGAAACCGUGAAACGUGCCGCCUGGGAAGUACGGUCGCAAGGCUGAAACUUAAAGGAAUUGGCGGGGGAGCACAACAACGGGUGGAGCCUGCGGUUUAAUUGGACUCAACGCCGGACAACUCACCGGGAACGACAGCAAUAUGUAGGCCAGGCUGAGGACCUUGCCUGAAUCGCUG
This 265-nucleotide ribosomal RNA is filed under the name uncultured archaeon. RNAcentral's name for it is "partial 16S ribosomal RNA". It matches the Rfam family "Archaeal small subunit ribosomal RNA", at positions 714 to 982 of the family's 1478-position model. The record is from RNAcentral.